Molecule: ribosomal RNA, 301 nt
Filed under: uncultured bacterium
Lineage: Bacteria
Description: partial 16S ribosomal RNA
Rfam family: Bacterial small subunit ribosomal RNA
Source: RNAcentral
CAGUCGCCGCGGUAAUACGGAGGGAGCUAGCGUUGUUCGGAAUUACUGGGCGUAAAGCGCACGUAGGCGGUUAUUCAAGUCAGAGGUGAAAGCCCGGGGCUCAACCCCGGAACUGCCUUUGAAACUAGAUGACUGGAAUCUUGGAGAGGUCAGUGGAAUUCUGAGUGUAGAGGUGAAAUUCGUAGAUAUUCGGAAGAACACCAGUGGCGAAGGCGACUGACUGGACAAGUAUUGACGCUGAGGUGCGAAAGCGUGGGGAGCAAAUGGGAUUAGAUACCCCCGUAGUCCCUGUCUCUUAUAC